GCUGAUAUAGCUCAGUUGGUAGAGCAACUGCCUUGUAAGCAGUAGGUCGGGGGUUCGAGUCCGUCUAUCAGCUCCA
Molecule: transfer RNA, 76 nt
Filed under: Fastidiosipila sanguinis
Lineage: Bacteria; Bacillati; Bacillota; Clostridia; Eubacteriales; Oscillospiraceae
Description: tRNA-Thr
Rfam family: tRNA
About the family: Transfer RNA (tRNA) molecules are approximately 80 nucleotides in length. Their secondary structure includes four short double-helical elements and three loops (D, anti-codon, and T loops).
Source: RNAcentral